This is a non-coding RNA of Erythranthe guttata (spotted monkey flower), 782 nucleotides long. The record is from RefSeq and is a predicted model, not a curated record. NCBI's taxonomy places the organism in Eukaryota, Viridiplantae, Streptophyta, Magnoliopsida, Lamiales, Phrymaceae.
AGCAGAGGUCGCCGAUGGUGGCCGUUAUCUGGUGUUCAACUUUUGGCUCUUCAAAGAAUUAAAUGAACGGAGGUGUUAACGGUGGAGUAUUGAUGAUAGAAGGUACUGUUACAAACCUCGAGAAGUUAGCUUCCCAUUAAUGGUGGUGCUAGGCAGUUUUAUUCGACGGUGGUCGCCGAAAUUUGGUGUGAAAUUCAGCAUGCUCACCGGAAAGGGAAAUAAAAUCUGCUACGGCAUCUGUUUUCGGAGCCAAAAUCGAAGGGUUUGGAGUGUGAAUUUGGGAAUCAUUCCAUCUCGAAACUCGUAGAGGACCUCGAAAACUGUGAGUGUGUCAUUCGUGGUUGUGUACCUAAGAAAAUUUUGGUCUAUGAUGUUGCUUUUGGUGCUAACUCGAGCUAUGUUGGCGAAAUUAUGAGAAAUAGUAAACCUUCUGCCGCACCUGUUUUUGGAGUCGAAAUCGAAGGGUUUGGAGUGAGAUUUUCGAAUCAGUCUCUUCACAAAACUCGUCGAGGACCGUGAUAAUUAUAUGUAAGUGUUAAAUUGCUUCUAAUUCGAGCAAGUUUUAUAGCCUUUUAGAGAUGAGAAUUUGACGGCAGUGAGUCUGCCAAAAAAAGGGCAGUUUUGAUGAAUCAUCUCCGUUGGGUUUUAUUACCGUCUUAGGAUAAUAAUUUGGGAUAUAUUUCUUUCGUAAACUUUUAGAUGAAGUUGUCAGCUUUGAUUUGGUAAAUUGUUUGGCCAAUUUGGAUAACUUUACAAAUAGUUAUGAAUUUUACAAUAAACUA